RNAcentral lists this ribosomal RNA (295 nucleotides) under uncultured bacterium. Its description in RNAcentral is "partial 16S ribosomal RNA". It matches the Rfam family "Bacterial small subunit ribosomal RNA", at positions 335 to 620 of the family's 1533-position model. The record is from RNAcentral.
ACUCCUACGGGAGGCAGCAGUGGGGAAUAUUGCACAAUGGGCGCAAGCCUGAUGCAGCCAUGCCGCGUGUGUGAAGAAGGCCUUCGGGUUGUAAAGCACUUUCAGUCGUGAGGAAGGUGAGUUGUUAGUUAAUAGCGCAUUAUUUGACGUUAGCGACAGAAGAAGCACCGGCUAACUCCGUGCCAGCAGCCGCGGUAAUACGGAGGGUGCGAGCGUUAAUCGGAAUUACUGGGCGUAAAGCGCAUGCAGGUGGUUUGUUAAGUCAGAUGUGAAAGCCCGGGGCUCAACCUCGGAA